ACAUCCACAGAACUGUCCAGAGAUGGAUUGGUGCCUUCGGGAACUGUGAGACAGGUGCUGCAUGGGCUGUCGUCAGCUCGUGUUGUGAAAUGUUGGGUUAAGUCCCGCAACGAGCGCAACCCUUAUCUUUUGUUGCCAGCGGUCCGGCCGGGAACUCAAAGGAGACUGCCAGUGAUAAACUGGAGGAAGGUGGGGAUGACGUCAAGUCAUCAUGGCCCUUACGACCAGGGCUACACACGUGCUACAAUGGCGCAUACAAAGAGAAGCGACCUCGCGAGAGCAAGCGGGCCUCAUAAAGUGCGUCGUAGUCCGGAUUGGAGUCUGCAACUCGACUCCAUGAAGUCGGAAUCGCUAGU
This 356-nucleotide ribosomal RNA is filed under the name uncultured bacterium. Its description in RNAcentral is "bacterial SSU rRNA". It matches the Rfam family "Bacterial small subunit ribosomal RNA", at positions 984 to 1339 of the family's 1533-position model. The record is from RNAcentral.